RNAcentral lists this ribosomal RNA (392 nucleotides) under uncultured bacterium. RNAcentral's name for it is "partial 16S ribosomal RNA". It matches the Rfam family "Bacterial small subunit ribosomal RNA", at positions 523 to 918 of the family's 1533-position model. The record is from RNAcentral.
AUACGGAGGAUCCAAGCGUUAUCCGGAUUUAUUGGGUUUAAAGGGUGCGCAGGCGGCCAUUUAAGUCAGCGGUUAAAUCGUGGGGCUCAACCCCAUUCUGCCGUUGAUACUGGGUGGCUUGAUUGCGGUCGAGGUUGGCGGAAUUCGUUGUGUAGCGGUGAAAUGCAUAGAUAUGACGAAGAACACCGAUUGCGUAGGCAGCUGACCAGACCGCAAAUGACGCUCAUGCACGAAAGUACGGGGAUCGAACAGGAUUAGAUACCCUGGUAGUCCGCACAGUAAACGAUGAAUACUUGUUUUCGGCGAUAUAAUGUCGGAGGCAAAGCGAAAGCGAUAAGUAUUCCACCUGGGGAGUACGCCGGCAACGGUGAAACUCAAAUGAAUUGGCGGGG